CUACGUGCCAGCAGCCGCGGUAAUACGUAGGGCGCGAGCGUUGUCCGGAAUUAUUGGGCGUAAAGAGCUUGUAGGCGGUUUGUCGCGUCUGCUGUGAAAGGCCGGAGCUUAACUCCGUGUAUUGCAGUGGGUACGGGCAGACUAGAGUGCAGUAGGGGAGACUGGAAUUCCUGGUGUAGCGGUGGAAUGCACAGAUAUCAGGAGGAACACCGAUGGCGAAGGCAGGUCUCUGGGCUGUAACUGACGCUGAGAAGCGAAAGCAUGGGGAGCGAACAGGAUUAGAUACCCUGGUAGUCCAUGCCGUAAACGUUGGGCACUAGGUGUGGGGAACAUCCCACGUUUUCCGCGCCGUAGCUAACGCAUUAAGUGCCCCGCCUGGGGAGUACGGCCGCAAGGCUAAAACUCAAAGAAAUUGACGGGGGCCCGCACAAGCGGCGGAGCAUGCGGAUUAAUUCGAUGCAACGCGAAGAACCUUACCAAGGCUUGACAU
This 490-nucleotide ribosomal RNA is filed under the name uncultured bacterium. RNAcentral's name for it is "bacterial SSU rRNA". It matches the Rfam family "Bacterial small subunit ribosomal RNA", at positions 501 to 987 of the family's 1533-position model. The record is from RNAcentral.